RNAcentral lists this ribosomal RNA (762 nucleotides) under Triticum aestivum (bread wheat). RNAcentral's name for it is "partial small subunit ribosomal RNA". The record is from RNAcentral. Lineage: Eukaryota; Viridiplantae; Streptophyta; Magnoliopsida; Poales; Poaceae.
GGCAUUCCGAAGGAGAUCAGUUCAGACCGCGGCAGUAUUUUCACUUCUAAGUUCUGGGAUAGUUUCCAAGAGGCAAUGGGAACUCAUAUUACCUGGAGCACUGCCUAUCAUCCCCAAUCCCAAGGCCAAGUCGAGCGAGUCAAUCAAAUUCUUGAAGACAUGCUUCGAGCUUGUGUUAUUUCUUUCGGCAAGAAGUGGGAAGAAUCUCUUCCUUAUGCGGAGUUCUCUUAUAACAACAGCUAUCAAGCCAGCUUGAAGAUGGCACCCUUUGAAGUGCUUUAUGGACGUAAGUGCCGAACCCCUCUGAAUUGGUCAGAAACUGGGGAACGAGCACUCAUUGGUCCGGACAUUAUUCAACAAGCUGAAGAGCAGGUUCGCAUUGUCCGGGAUAAUCUCAAGGCGGCCCAAUCCCGCCAGAAGAGCAACUAUGACCGGAAACACUGGGGUUCAACUUAUCAACCUGGUGAACAAGCUUAUCUGCGUGUCACUCCUUUGAGAGGCACUCAUCGGUUCGGAGUCAAGGGAAAGUUAGCUCCUCGCUACAUUGGUCCCUUCCGUAUUCUCGCCCGUCGUGGACUGGUGGCUUAUCAACUGGAGUUGCCACCUCAGUUCUCUCACGUUCAUGACGUCUUCCAUGUGUCGCAACUUCGUCGAUGCUUCAAGGAUCCGGAACGUGAAGUGGAUCCGGAAUUGAUUGAAAUUCAAGAUGAUCUCACAUACAAGGAUCAUCCAAUCUGCAUUCUUGAAGAAGCUGAACGUCGA